Molecule: non-coding RNA, 27 nt
Filed under: Homo sapiens (human)
Lineage: Eukaryota; Metazoa; Chordata; Mammalia; Primates; Hominidae
Source: RNAcentral
UGGCCUGCGAGAUCCUGCGAGGUGUUC